GCAUAUCAAUAAGCGGAGGAAAAGAAACUAACAAGGAUUCCCCUAGUAACGGCGAGUGAAGCGGGAUGAGCUCAAAUUUAAAAUCUGGCGGCCUCAGGUCGUCCGAGUUGUAGUCUAGAGAAUCGUUUUCCGCGUUGGCCUGUGUACAAGUCCCUUGGAACAGGGCGUCAUAGAGGGUGAGAAUCCCGUCCUUGACACAGACUACCAAUGCUUUGUGAUGCGAUCUCGAAGAGUCGAGUUGUUUGGGAAUGCAGCUCAAAAUGGGUGGUAAAUUCCAUCUAAAGCUAAAUAUUGGCGAGAGACCGAUAGCGAACAAGUACCGUGAGGGAAAGAUGAAAAGCACUUUGGAAAGAGAGUUAAACAGUACGUGAAAUUGUUAAAAGGGAAACGAUUGAAGUCAGUCAUGCUUUCCGAGACUCAGCCGAUUCUGUCGGUGUACUUCUCGGUUGGCAGGCCAGCAUCAGUUUCGAUCUGUGGAAAAGGUUGGAGGGAACGUGGCAUCCUCGGAUGUGUUAUAGCCCUUCUUCGAAUACAUAGAGCGGGACUGAGGAACGCAGCGCGCCUUUUAUUAGGUUGGCCCUCGGGUACAUACGCGCUUAGGAUGCUGGCAUAAUGGCUUUAAACGACCCGUCUUGA
RNAcentral lists this ribosomal RNA (636 nucleotides) under Mrakia robertii. RNAcentral's name for it is "eukaryotic LSU rRNA". It matches the Rfam family "Eukaryotic large subunit ribosomal RNA", at positions 38 to 657 of the family's 3401-position model. Lineage: Eukaryota; Fungi; Basidiomycota; Tremellomycetes; Cystofilobasidiales; Mrakiaceae. The record is from RNAcentral.